UCUCCAGAUUAUUUUAGUGCGAUCUAACGAAGAAGCAGAAGAAGAUCUCACUUAGAUAUCCAAACUCCGAAAGUGAGUAUCUUGCUUGGUUUACUUAUAUGGUAUUGUGAGUACUAAAUAUUAGACGGUGGGCUUCCAACCUACCUGGUAAUAGGUGGAGAGGCUUAUAUCUUAUAUAUACCACUUAAGAUCCGAUCCAAGUAUUGGGUCCGGCCGAUGUGGAUUGGGUUGAGUAUGUGCGGAUCGGGCUCUGGUACCAUAUUAGAUUGUGGACUUCCAACCUAAAACCAAUUGACAAUAUGUGGAGAGACCCAUAUCUUAUAUAUACCACUUAAGAUCCGAUGUGGGAUAAAAUCGCUAAUACUAAAGAGAUAUCUUUGUGUUUGUUGUUGAUGGUUUUUGUCUUUUGGCGCAUCAAGAUUAGUACUUUU
This 431-nucleotide small RNA is filed under the name Arabidopsis thaliana (thale cress). RNAcentral describes it as "ATSL177080". Lineage: Eukaryota; Viridiplantae; Streptophyta; Magnoliopsida; Brassicales; Brassicaceae. The record is from RNAcentral.